GUGGGGAAUAUUGGACAAUGGGCGAAAGCCUGAUCCAGCCAUACCGCGUGUGUGAAGAAGGUCUUCGGAUUGUAAAGCACUUUAAGUUGGGAGGAAGGGCAGUAAGUUAAUACCUUGCUGUUUUGACGUUACCGACAGAAUAAGCACCGGCUAACUUCGUGCCAGCAGCCGCGGUAAUACGAAGGGUGCAAGCGUUAAUCGGAAUUACUGGGCGUAAAGCGCGCGUAGGUGGUUUUGUAAGUUGGAGGUGAAAUCCCCGGGCUCAACCUGGGAACUGCCUCCAAAACUGCAUGACUAGAGUACGGUAGAGGGUAGUGGAAUUUCCUGUGUAGCGGUGAAAUGCGUAGAUAUAGGAAGGAACACCAGUGGCGAAGGCGACCACCUGGACUGAUACUGACACUGAGGUGCGAAAGCGUGGGGAGCAAACAGGAUUAGAUACCCCUGUAGUCC
RNAcentral lists this ribosomal RNA (450 nucleotides) under uncultured bacterium. RNAcentral's name for it is "partial 16S ribosomal RNA". It matches the Rfam family "Bacterial small subunit ribosomal RNA", at positions 354 to 796 of the family's 1533-position model. The record is from RNAcentral.